RNAcentral lists this transfer RNA (70 nucleotides) under uncultured Faecalimonas sp. It matches the Rfam family "tRNA". Rfam says of the family: Transfer RNA (tRNA) molecules are approximately 80 nucleotides in length. Their secondary structure includes four short double-helical elements and three loops (D, anti-codon, and T loops). Further hydrogen bonds mediate the characteristic L-shaped molecular structure. tRNAs have two regions of fundamental functional importance: the anti-codon, which is responsible for specific mRNA codon recognition, and the 3' end, to which the tRNAs corresponding amino acid is attached (by aminoacyl-tRNA synthetases). tRNAs cope with the degeneracy of the genetic code in two manners: having more than one tRNA (with a specific anti-codon) for a particular amino acid; and 'wobble' base-pairing, i.e. permitting non-standard base-pairing at the 3rd anti-codon position. The record is from RNAcentral. Lineage: Bacteria; Bacillati; Bacillota; Clostridia; Lachnospirales; Lachnospiraceae.
GAUACAUAGCUCAGUGGUAGAGUACUUCACUCGUAAUGAAGGGGUCGCAGGUUCAAGUCCUGCUGUAUCC